UCUCAAAAUUGGUGACCUUCC
This 21-nucleotide non-coding RNA is filed under the name Arabidopsis thaliana (thale cress). The record is from RNAcentral. Lineage: Eukaryota; Viridiplantae; Streptophyta; Magnoliopsida; Brassicales; Brassicaceae.